GUACGGGAAUGAGGAUAAUUUAUAAGACUGAAAUUAUUGUAUUAUUUGCUGGAAAUGUGGAAUAUGAGGAAUUUAAAGCCAUUCGUGAGUCGUUUUUGAUGAUUCAGCUGGACAAAUGCUGGAAAUUAUACAGUUUUCUCCCACCUUAAAACAGUACAUGGUAUAUCAUGGACACCAAAAGCAAACUAUAAAGAUCUAAAUGCCAUAAUUUUGUGCAUCUUGAAAACUGGAAAGGCGGAUCACUUUGAAGCAGAUGAUAGUAAUAGUGUUUAAAAGAAUUCUUUGCGACAGUUAUACCAGUUGGAACAGAUAAAAGAUACAUCAGAUGACAGACUUACAUAUACAAAUGAUAUAGAGGAGCCUAUAAUUAGAGAAAUGGAUCAACUUGAUUUUGAAGUUAACCUACUGCAUUAAUAUGAAAAUUCAUAAGUGACUGAGCUUAAAGAAAAUCACACAUGAAACUGUAACCAGUUUGGGAGACUCAUACAACAGAACAUUUCAAUACCUAUUAAGUUUUUUAUGUAUAUGUUUGACUUUUGGUAAUAUUUUGGAAGUUACUUUAGUAAUUGAGAGACCUCAAUGUUGAAAAUGACAAUUUUAAGAAUAUCAACUUAGUUGUUUAUGAAUCUUUAUCUUUUAAAAUAUUACUGGGUGUCUGAAAGAAUAUUUCAAAAUUUUCUGAAACUAUAUAGAUAUUUAUCAUGUUUCAUGUGUUUAUAUAGGCAAAUAUUUAUACAUGUCAUUUAUGUUAUGCAAGGGUUUAUAUGAAUUUCUAAAAAGAUGUAUAUAUAUGUGUUGAUAAAAUAAGUUCCAAAUUAUUACAGAGUAACAGAAAAUGGGAUCAAUGUAUAUUAAAACAAAUCUGUUAAAAGGGAAUGAA
Molecule: long non-coding RNA, 880 nt
Organism: Mytilus trossulus (common blue mussel)
Lineage: Eukaryota; Metazoa; Mollusca; Bivalvia; Mytilida; Mytilidae
Exons: 3
Source: RefSeq, a predicted model, not a curated record